CUGCUAUCGGAUUGAUACUAAGCCAUGCGAGUCUUUGUAGUAAUACAAGGCAGACGGCUCAGUAACACGUAGUCAACCUACCCUAUGGACAAGAAUAAUCUCGGGAAACUGGGCAUAAUUCUUGAUAGAUCAUAAUGCCUGGAAUGGUUUAUGGUUAAAAUGAUUCGUCGCCAUAGGAUGGGACUGCGGCCUAUCAGCUUGUUGGUGAGGUAAUGGCCCACCAAGGCGAUUACAGGUACGGGCUCUGAGAGGAGAAGCCCGGAGAUGGGUACUGAGACACGGACCCAGGCCCUAUGGGGCGCAGCAGGCGAGAAAACUUUGCAAUGUGCGAAAGCACGACAAGGUUAAUCCGAGUGAUUUCUGCUAAAGAAAUCUUUUGCCAGUCAUAAAACCACUGGUGAAUAAGGGGUGGGCAAGUUCUGGUGUCAGCCGCCGCGGUAAAACCAGCACCUCAAGUGGUCAGGAUGAUUAUUGGGCCUAAAGCAUCCGUAGCCGGCUUUGUAAGUUUUCGGUUAAAUCCAUGUGCUCAACGCAUGGGCUGCCGAAAAUACUGCAUGGCUAGGGAGUGGGAGAGGUAGACGGUACUCAGUAGGAAGGGGUAAAAUCCUUUGAUCUAUUGAUGACCACCUGUGGCGAAGGCGGUCUACCAGAACACGUUCGACGGUGAGGGAUGAAAGCUGGGGGAGCAAACCGGAUUAGAUACCCGGGUAGUCCCAGCUGUAAACGAUGCAGACUCGAUGAUGCAUUGGCAUAAUAGCCAGUGCAGUGUCGCAGGGAAGCCGUUAAGUCUGCCGCCUGGGAAGUACGUACGCAAGUAUGAAACUUAAAGGAAUUGGCGGGGAGCACCACAAGGGUGAAGCCUGCGGU
RNAcentral lists this ribosomal RNA (867 nucleotides) under uncultured marine group I thaumarchaeote. Its description in RNAcentral is "SSU rRNA". It matches the Rfam family "Archaeal small subunit ribosomal RNA", at positions 27 to 901 of the family's 1478-position model. The record is from RNAcentral. Lineage: Archaea; Thermoproteati; Nitrososphaerota.